UUAAGUGACGAUAGCCUAGGAGAUACACCUGUACCCAUGCCGAACACAGCAGUUAAGCCCUAGAACGCCUGAUGUAGUUGGGGGCUGCGA
Molecule: ribosomal RNA, 90 nt
Filed under: Salmonella enterica subsp. enterica serovar Typhimurium str. STm12
Lineage: Bacteria; Pseudomonadati; Pseudomonadota; Gammaproteobacteria; Enterobacterales; Enterobacteriaceae
Source: RNAcentral